Molecule: ribosomal RNA, 507 nt
Filed under: uncultured bacterium
Lineage: Bacteria
Description: partial 16S ribosomal RNA
Rfam family: Bacterial small subunit ribosomal RNA
Source: RNAcentral
GACGAACGCUGGCGGCGUGCCUAAUACAUGCAAGUCGAACGCAUUUUCUUUCACCGUAGCUUGCUACACCGAAAGAAAAUGAGUGGCGAACGGGUGAGUAACACGUGGGCAACCUGCCCAUCAGCGGGGGAUAACACUUGGAAACAGGUGCUAAUACCGCAUAAUUCCAUUUACCGCAUGGUAGAGGGAUGAAAGGCGCUUUUGCGUCACUGAUGGAUGGACCCGCGGUGCAUUAGCUAGUUGGUGGGGUAACGGCCUACCAAGGCUGCGAUGCAUAGCCGACCUGAGAGGGUGAUCGGCCACACUGGGACUGAGACACGGCCCAGACUCCUACGGGAGGCAGCAGUAGGGAAUCUUCGGCAAUGGACGCAAGUCUGACCGAGCAACGCCGCGUGAGUGAAGAAGGUUUUCGGAUCGUAAAACUCUGUUGUUAGAGAAGAACAAGGAUGAGAGUGGAAAGUUCAUCCCUUGACGGUAUCUAACCAGAAAGCCACGGCUAACUACGCG